CGGGGUGAAGCUCGUGGAACGAGCGGCGGACGGGUGAGUAACACGUGGGCAACCUGCCUGUAAGAUCGGAAUAACCCCGGGAAACCGGGGCUAAUGCCGGGUAACACUUUCUUUCGCAUGAAGGAAAGUUGAAAGAUGGCUUCUUGCUAUCACUUACAGAUGGGCCCGCGGCGCAUUAGCUAGUUGGUGAGGUAACGGCUCACCAAGGCGACGAUGCGUAGCCGACCUGAGAGGGUGAUCGGCCACACUGGGACUGAGACACGGCCCAGACUCCUACGGGAGGCAGCAGUAGGGAAUCUUCCGCAAUGGACGAAAGUCUGACGGAGCAACGCCGCGUGAACGAUGAAGGUCUUCGGAUCGUAAAGUUCUGUUGUUAGGGAAGAACAAGUACCGUUCAAACAGGGCGGUACCUUGACGGUACCUAACGAGGAAGCCCCGGCUAACUACGUGCCAGCAGCCGCGGUAAUACGUAGGGGGCAAGCGUUGUCCGGAAUUAUUGGGCGUAAAGCGCGCGCAGGCGGUUCCUUAAGUCUGAUGUGAAAGCCCACGGCUCAACCGUGGAGGGUCAUUGGAAACUGGGGAACUUGAGGACAGAAGAGGAGAGUGGAAUUCCACGUGUAGCGGUGAAAUGCGUAGAUAUGUGGAGGAACACCAGUGGCGAAGGCGACUCUCUGGUCUGUUUCUGACGCUGAGGUGCGAAAGCGUGGGUAGCAAACAGGAUUAGAUACCCUGGUAGUCCACGCCGUAAACGAUGAGUGCUAGGUGUUAGGGGGCUUCCACCCCUUAGUGCU
RNAcentral lists this ribosomal RNA (791 nucleotides) under Halobacillus faecis. RNAcentral's name for it is "bacterial SSU rRNA". It matches the Rfam family "Bacterial small subunit ribosomal RNA", at positions 75 to 847 of the family's 1533-position model. The record is from RNAcentral. Lineage: Bacteria; Bacillati; Bacillota; Bacilli; Caryophanales; Bacillaceae.